Molecule: long non-coding RNA, 572 nt
Filed under: Homo sapiens (human)
Lineage: Eukaryota; Metazoa; Chordata; Mammalia; Primates; Hominidae
Description: HSALNT0071618
Source: RNAcentral
UAGAAGAUCUGAGACAGGCAGACCACAAAAACAAUAAUUUAUUGGCAAAAAGAGCAAUCAAGGUCCUGGGCCUGGACACAGGAAAGUUCACCUUCCUAUAGUCAUGGAAGCCCACGAGGAGGCUAGAAAGUAGACAUGAGGAUGAUGAGUCAUCUUCAACUGCACCAAUGAGGACAAAUUAGAUCUUCACUGAAGAUAAAAGUGUCUGACAUCUACAUUUGAACCGAUCUUCUCUUAUCUGACGGGGAACGUGAACAGUGAUUAUCCACUUAGCCCAGAUCCAUUCUCUGAUUUUUAAAAAUGUGAUUUGCUAACACAUACCAGACUUCACAUAGGGAGAAGAUGAGGAAACCAAGACACAGAGAAGAUAAACAACUUGCCUGAAGUCACAAAUGGCACUACAGUUGUGAUGAGGCAAUUGCAACAUUUGAAAAGACCCCAGGGAGUUUGCAUUAAAUGCGUUUCACAAGAGUGAAUGAUGGAACAGAACACCAUGUACAAAGACACAGUCAUCCAACACCCAAGCACAAAUGGCACAAGUUAAACAUGUGACGGCUUGAUGUAUGACAGGU